UUGUUACUGAUGGAUCGAUUCCUGAUAUCAAACUAGUCACCUACAUACAACGCUUGAAUUUAGGAUUUGAGGUAGAGGCAACAUUACCUACAAGAUAAUUGCAAGCAUGAUCUGACAGAAAGUGCGUUAAAUGUGAUUGACAAAAUUAUAACUAAUGUGGGCCACCAAGUUGGAUCUGGAGGCAAGGCAACGUGGAAACAAAAUGAGCACGAAGUUCUGCAGAGAAUGGCUUGGUAAACACAUCUGCAAUCUGCAUAUGAGAUGGCACAUGAGCAGUGGAGAAAACUACGCUACAAUUGAUCUCUCACAAAUCAAAAUGUGAUAAUCAAUAUCAAUGUGCUUGAUUCCCCCAUGAAAUUAAUUGUAAUUUAUUUAUCUUGUAUUGACUUUAGUUACCAGCCUAAUUUGUUUUAGCCAUUUUAGCAAUUGAACUAACCCUAAACUCAACGAUUGAACUUGCCAACAGUCUUUACCAAACUUUAGAUCAGAAAAAA
This 494-nucleotide unclassified non-coding RNA is filed under the name Hevea brasiliensis (rubber tree). Lineage: Eukaryota; Viridiplantae; Streptophyta; Magnoliopsida; Malpighiales; Euphorbiaceae. The record is from RNAcentral.